CCUACGGGAGGCAGCAGUGAGGAAUAUUGGUCAAUGGGCGAGAGCCUGAACCAGCCAAGUCGCGUGAGGGAGUACUGCCCUAUGGGUUGUAAACCUCUUUUGUCGGGGAGCAAAAGCCGGACGUGUCCGGCUGUGAGAUUACCCGAAGAAAAAGCAUCGGCUAACUCCGUGCCAGCAGCCGCGGUAAUACGGAGGAUGCGGGCGUUAUCCGGAUUUAUUGGGUUUAAAGGGGGCGCAGGCGGAUUUUUAAGUCAGCGGUAAAAUCGUGGGGCUCAACCCCAUCCAGCCGUUGAAACUGGGGAUCUAGAGUGUGCGAGAGGUAUGCGGAAUGCGUGGUGUAGCGGUGAAAUGCAUAGAUAUCACGCAGAACCCCGAUUGCGAAGGCAGCAUACCGGUGCACAACUGACGCUCAGGCACGAAAGCGUGGGUAUCGAACAGGAUUAGAUACCCCAGUAGUC
Molecule: ribosomal RNA, 458 nt
Filed under: uncultured bacterium
Lineage: Bacteria
Description: partial 16S ribosomal RNA
Rfam family: Bacterial small subunit ribosomal RNA
Source: RNAcentral